RNAcentral lists this ribosomal RNA (250 nucleotides) under uncultured bacterium. Its description in RNAcentral is "partial 16S ribosomal RNA". It matches the Rfam family "Bacterial small subunit ribosomal RNA", at positions 524 to 773 of the family's 1533-position model. The record is from RNAcentral.
UACGAAGGUGGCAAGCGUUGUUCGGAUUUACUGGGCGUAAAGAGUGCGUAGGCGGUUUGACAAGUCAGGAGUGAAAGCCCGGGGCUCAACCCCGGAAUUGCUUUUGAAACUGUCUUACUUGAAGCCGGUAGAGGUUGGCGGAAUUCCCAGUGUAGAGGUGAAAUUCGCAGAUAUUGGGAGGAACACCAGUGGCGUAAGCGGCCAACUGGACCGGUUUUGACGCUGAGGUACGAAAGCGUGGGUAGCAAAC